GGUUAAGUGACUAAGCGUACACGGUGGAUGCCUUGGCAGUCAGAGGCGAUGAAGGACGUAUUAACUUGCGAUAAGCCCAGAUUAGGUAGUAAAAACCACUUGAGUCUGGGAUUUCCGAAUGGGGAAACCCACUUACAUAAGUAAGUAUCGCUGCGUGAAUACAUAGCGCAGCGAGGCGAACCGGGGGAACUGAAACAUCUAAGUACCCCGAGGAAAAGAAAUCAACCGAGAUUCCGAAAGUAGCGGCGAGCGAAAUUGGACUAGCCCUUAAGCUUUUUAUGCGUCAGGUGAAACUUCUGGAAAGUUGUGCGAUACAGGGUGAUAGCCCCGUAACUAAGCAACGCAUAUAAAGUGAAAUCGAGUAGGGCGGGACACGUGAUAUCCUGUCUGAAUAUGGGGGGACCAUCCUCCAAGGCUAAAUACUACUGACUGACCGAUAGUGAACCAGUACCGUGAGGGAAAGGCGAAAAGAACCCCUGUGAGGGGAGUGAAAUAGAACCUGAAACCGUGUACGUACAAGCAGUAGGAGCACCUUCGUGGUGUGACUGCGUACCUUUUGUAUAAUGGGUCAGCGACUUAUAUUCAGUGGCAAGGUUAACCAUCUAGGGGAGCCGUAGGGAAACCGAGUCUUAACUGGGCGUUCAGUCUCUGGAUAUAGACCCGAAACCAUAGGUGAUCUAGCCAUGGGCAGGUUGAAGGUUGAGUAACAUCAACUGGAGGACCGAACCGACUAAUGUUGAAAAAUUAGCGGAUGACUUGUGGCUAGGGGUGAAAGUACCAAUCAAACCUGGAGAUAGCUGGUUCUCCCCGAAAGCUAUUUAGGUAGCGCCUCGGACGAAUACUACUGGGGGUAGAGCACUGUUAAGGCUAGGGGGUCAUCCCGACUUACCAACCCUUUGCAAACUCCGAAUACCAGUAAGUACUAUCCGGGAGACACACGGCGGGUGCUAACGUCCGUCGUGGAGAGGGAAACAACCCAGACCGCCAGCUAAGGUCCCAAAUUACUACUAAGUGGGAAACGAUGUGGGAAGGCUCAGACAAGCCAGGAUGUUGGCUUAGAAGCAGCCAUCAUUUAAAGAAAGCGUAAUAGCUCACUGGUCGAGUCAGUCUGCGCGGAAGAUGUAACGGGGCUAAGUAGUAAACCGAAGCUGCGGCAAUGCACUUUAGUGCAUUGGGUAGGGGAGCGUUCUGUAAGCGGUUGAAGGUGUGUGGUAACGCAUGCUGGACGUAUCAGAAGUGCGAAUGCUGACAUGAGUAACGAUAAAGGGGGUGAAAAACCUCCUCGCCGGAAGACCAAGGGUUCCUGUCCAACGUUAAUCGGGGCAGGGUAAGUCGACCCCUAAGGCGAGUACCGAAAGGCGUAGUCGAUGGGAAACGGGUUAAUAUUCCCGUACUUCUUACAAUUGCGAUGGGGGGACGGAGAAGGCUAGGUGAGUACUUAGCGACGGUUGUCCAGGUUCAAGUGCGUAGGCUUAAGAGUUAGGUAAAUCCGGCUCUUUCUAAGGCUGAGACACGACGUCGAGCUACUACGGUAGUGAAGUCAUUGAUGCCAUGCUUCCAGGAAAAGCCUCUAAGCUUCAGAUUGUAAGGAAUCGUACCCCAAACCGACACAGGUGGUCGGGUAGAGAAUACCAAGGCGCUUGAGAGAACUCGGGUGAAGGAACUAGGCAAAAUGGUACCGUAACUUCGGGAGAAGGUACGCUCUCGACGGUGAAGUCCCUUGCGGAUGGAGCUAUUGAGAGUCGCAGAUACCAUAGGUGGCUGCAACUGUUUAUUAAAAACACAGCACUGUGCAAAAUCGUAAGAUGACGUAUACGGUGUGACGCCUGCCCGGUGCCGGAAGGUUAAUUGAUGGGGUUAGACUUCGGUCGAAGCUCUUGAUCGAAGCCCCGGUAAACGGCGGUACGUAACUAUAACGGUCCUAAGGUAGCGAAAUUCCUUGUCGGGUAAGUUCCGACCUGCACGAAUGGCGUAAUGAUUAGUACGCUGUCUCCACCCGAGACUCAGUGAAAUUGAAAUCGCUGUGAAGAUGCAGUGUACCCGCGGCUAGACGGAAAGACCCCGUGAACCUUUACUACAGCUUGGCACUGAACAUUGACCCUACAUGUGUAGGAUAGGUGGGAGGCUUUGAAGCACAGUCGCUAGAUUGUGUGGAGCCGUCCUUGAAAUACCACCCUUGUAGUGUUGAUGUUCUAACGUUGACCCCUAAUCGGGGUUGCGGACAGUGCUUAUAGUGGGUAGUUUGACUGGGGCGGUCUCCUCCCAAAGCGUAACGGAGGAGCACGAAGGUGGGCUAAUCACGGUUGGACAUCGUGAGGUUAGUGCAAUGGCAUAAGCCCGCUUGACUGCGAGAAUGACGGUUCGAGCAGGUGCGAAAGCAGGUCAUAGUGAUCCGGUGGUUCUGAAUGGAAGGUACCAUCGCUCAACGGAUAAAAGGUACUCCGGGGAUAACAGGCUGAUACCGCCCAAGAGUUCAUAUCGACGGCGGUGUUUGGCACCUCGAUGUCGGCUCAUCACAUCCUAGGGCUGAAGUCGGUCCCAAGGGUAUGGCUGUUCGCCAUUUAAAGUGGUACGCGAGCUGGGUUUAGAACGUCGUGAGACAGUUCGGUCCCUAUCUGCCGUGGGCGUUGGAAGAUUGAAGGGGGCUGCUCCUAGUACGAGAGGACCGGAGUGGACGAACCUCUGGUGUUCGGGUUGUGUCGCCAGACGCAUUGCCCGGUAGCUAAGUUCGGAAUCGAUAACCGCUGAAAGCAUCUAAGCGGGAAGCGAGCCCUGAGAUGAGUCUUCCCUGAUACUUUAAGUAUCCUAAAGGGUUGUUCGAGACUAGAACGUUGAUAGGCAGGGUGUGUAAGCGUUGUGAGGCGUUGAGCUAACCUGUACUAAUUGCCCGUGAGGCUUAACCAU
Molecule: ribosomal RNA, 2904 nt
Filed under: Vibrio harveyi
Lineage: Bacteria; Pseudomonadati; Pseudomonadota; Gammaproteobacteria; Vibrionales; Vibrionaceae
Description: 23S ribosomal RNA
Rfam family: Bacterial large subunit ribosomal RNA
Source: RNAcentral